RNAcentral lists this ribosomal RNA (253 nucleotides) under uncultured bacterium. RNAcentral describes it as "partial 16S ribosomal RNA". It matches the Rfam family "Bacterial small subunit ribosomal RNA", at positions 524 to 776 of the family's 1533-position model. The record is from RNAcentral.
UACGUAGGUGGCGAGCGUUGUCCGGAUUUACUGGGCGUAAAGGGAGCGCAGGCGGAUUUUUAAGUGAGAUGUGAAAUACUCGGGCUCAACUUGAGUGCUGCAUUUCAAACUGGAAGUCUAGAGUGCAGGAGAGGAGAAUGGAAUUCCUAGUGUAGCGGUGAAAUGCGUAGAGAUUAGGAAGAACACCAGUGGCGAAGGCGAUUCUCUGGACUGUAACUGACGCUGAGGCUCGAAAGCGUGGGGAGCAAACAGG